Small nuclear RNA from Herpailurus yagouaroundi (jaguarundi), 106 nucleotides. The record is from RefSeq and is a predicted model, not a curated record. NCBI's taxonomy places the organism in Eukaryota, Metazoa, Chordata, Mammalia, Carnivora, Felidae.
GUGCUCUCACAUCAGCAGCAAAUGUAAAACUGAAACAAUGCAGAGAAGAUUAUCAUGGUCCCGAUGCAGGAAUGGCAUGCAAAUUCACGAAUCAUUCCGUGUUUCU